UAUUUGAAGAAAUGAAUCGAUUUCGAAUGGAUAUUAUCCAUGUUAACGGUGUUAAGUAAAGUUUUGUAGAUAUAUUCAUAAUGAGAGUAUAUCCAAAAAUAGUCUUGGCUAAUUACGUGCCAGCAGCCGCGGGAAUACGUAAGAGACUGUGUUAUUCAUCGAAUUUGGUAUAAAGGGUACCUAGACAGCCAUUAUGUCAUAAAUAAAUGUAACACAUGGCUAGAGUUUUAUAUAGGAAGUUUUCAGUAUCUGGAGUGAAUUAGAGUUAGAAUUUUUUAAUACCAAAGGGACUGGUAAAGGCGAAGACAGACUUUUAUGUAAAAACUGACGUUGAGGGACGAAGGCAUUGAGGCAGGAACAGGAUUAGAUACCCUAGUACUCUUUGCAGAAAAUGAUGAGUGCCAAAAAUUAGAUUUUAAUACUAUCACGAUGUAAGUUAACGGUACAAUUCGUGUAAUAGAUAUAAAUAUAGUUUUUAAGCGAAAGUGAAAGCAUUCCACCUCAAGAGUAAUGUGGCAACACAGAAACUGAAAUCACUAGGCCGUUUCUGACCCCAGUAGUGAGGUAUGUUAUUUAAUUUGAUGAUCCACAAAAAAUCUUACCACAAUUUUAAAACUUUUAUCUGCCUUUAUUAUUAAAGGUUAAUAUUAAAAUGUUAUAUAACAUUUUAAUUUAAGAUAAUUGAUACGAAAGUUACCAGAUUAUAUUUAUUAAUUUAGAUUUAAUAUGGACAAGGUGUUGCAUGGUUGUUUUAAGUUAAUAUCGUGAGAAAUGGCGAAACCUAAGAAUUAACAGAAUCCUUAGCUUUAUUUAAAAUAAAGCGUUCAUUUUGGAAAUUAAGAUUCAAGACAAGAAGGAGUAAAACAAAUCAUCAUGACCUUUAUUAUGUAUUGUGGGCU
Molecule: ribosomal RNA, 899 nt
Filed under: Torpedospora radiata
Lineage: Eukaryota; Fungi; Ascomycota; Sordariomycetes; Torpedosporales; Torpedosporaceae
Description: mitochondrial SSU rRNA
Rfam family: Bacterial small subunit ribosomal RNA
Source: RNAcentral